GGCUCAGGACGAACGCUGGCGGCGUGCCUAAUACAUGCAAGUCGAACGAACUGUGGAAAGCUUGCUUUCAGAGUAGUGGCGAACGGGUGAGUAACACGUAAGUAACCUAGCUAUUAGACGAGGAUAACUACUGGAAACGGUAGCUAAGACUGGAUAUGAUAGAAAUAUUUAAAGGAUGCUAAGGCAUCGCUAAUAGAGGGCUUGCGGCGCAUUAGCUAGUUGGUAGGGUAAAAGCCAACCAAGGCGAUGAUGCGUAGCCGACCUGAGAGGGUGACCGGCCACACUGGGACUGAGACACGGCCCAGACUCCUACGGGAGGCAGCAGUAGGGAAUCUUCGGCAAUGGACGGAAGUCUGACCGAGCAACGCCGCCGUGAGUGAAGAAAGUUUUCGGAUUGUAAAGCUCUGUUAUUAGGGGAAGAAAGGCUCUAGGAGGAAAUGCUUAGGGAUUGACGGUACCUAAUGAGGAAGCCACGGCUAACUACGUGCCAGCCGCCGC
This 498-nucleotide ribosomal RNA is filed under the name uncultured bacterium. Its description in RNAcentral is "bacterial SSU rRNA". It matches the Rfam family "Bacterial small subunit ribosomal RNA", at positions 21 to 518 of the family's 1533-position model. The record is from RNAcentral.